Schistocerca gregaria is the source of this 728-nucleotide long non-coding RNA. RefSeq lists it as uncharacterized. The record is from RefSeq and is a predicted model, not a curated record. NCBI's taxonomy places the organism in Eukaryota, Metazoa, Arthropoda, Insecta, Orthoptera, Acrididae. The transcript has 3 exons.
GACCUAUGUAGCAACCUUGCGAAGAGACGAACUACGGUACUGGCUGUACGCUAUAUUAAACGUAGUGCAGACCGCUACUGUUGGGUCAAGUAGCUCCUCAGUUGGCAUCACGAGGCUGAGUGCACCCCAAAAAAUGGCAACAGUGCAUGGCAGUCCAGAUGGUUACCCAUCCAAAUGCCGGCCACACCCGACAGCGCUUAACUUCGGUGAUCUGACAGGAACCGGCUUAUCCACUGCAGCAAAUCCAUUGCCAUCACUAUCUACAAGGAAAUACCCUGGGAGCUAUGGCUACACUUAAAAAAUCAUCAAGACCAUCAGCAAUAUGAAGAACAACCGGACACCACCCUCCAAUUCAGUGCACACCAGACACCUUCUUUUACCAGCCUUCAAUUACUCAAACCACAGAAACCUGCAAUUUCAUGAACAUGUGUGUUACUGCAUGUUCUACUUUUCAAAUUGAUAAACACUGUGCAUGCCUGCAAGACUUUAUCUUACAGUGGAAUGCGAGCGAAACCCUUGGAGGGUGUGUAACAUGUGAUAAGCUGUCUAGACCAUGUAUAUUCUCAAAUUCAUGAUUUUAUCCUUUUUCAAUCAUAUUUGAAAUGUCUUAACGUCUGACUGUAUAGCAGUAUAUGUUGUGUUAACACAGUUAACCCCUGUAAUUUGGAAUAAAAUUUCACAAUAUUACUGUACUAUAAAAAAGCUAUUUUUGCUUAUGUAAAUAUAUG